GAUGAACGCUGGCGGCGUGCCUAAUACAUGCAAGUCGAGCGAACAGACGAGGAGCUUGCUCCUCUGACGUUAGCGGCGGACGGGUGGGUAACACGUGGAUAACCUACCUAUAAGACUGGGAUAACUUCGGGAAACCGGAGCUAAUACCGGAUAAUAUAUUGAACCGCAUGGUUCAAUAGUGAAAGACGGUUUUGCUGUCACUUAUAGAUGGAUCCGCGCCGCAUUAGCUAGUUGGUAAGGUAACGGCUUACCAAGGCAACGAUGCGUAGCCGACCUGAGAGGGUGAUCGGCCACACUGGAACUGAGGCACGGUCCAGACUCCUACGGGAGGCAGCAGUAGGGAAUCUUCCGCAAUGGGCGAAAGCCUGACGGAGCAACGCCGCGUGAGUGAUGAAGGUCUUCGGAUCGUAAAACUCUGUUAUUAGGGAAGAACAAAUGUGUAAGUAACUAUGCACGUCUUGACGGUACCUAAUCAGAAAGCCACGGCUAACUACGUG
RNAcentral lists this ribosomal RNA (497 nucleotides) under uncultured bacterium. RNAcentral describes it as "partial 16S ribosomal RNA". It matches the Rfam family "Bacterial small subunit ribosomal RNA", at positions 28 to 507 of the family's 1533-position model. The record is from RNAcentral.